GGUAGAAUUUAAAUCUCCUCCAAGCUGAUCAACGAUUGCACCUUUUGAUAUAUAGUAUUUCACCAGAUCUAUCCUGUUGUUGAUUGCAGCCCAGUGGAGAAGUGUCACAUUUUCUUUGUCUGGUUGUCGUACAUCAUAACCUGCUUCCACCAACUCUCUACAUCGUUCAUAUAUUCCAUACUGUGUGGCUUUGACAAUGUCCCAAGUGCUAUAAUCAUCAAUGUGGCUUUUUCGUCCAAGAGAUUCACUAUAUCCAUGGUUGUAAUGGCUUUGAGGCUUUAUUUCCUCGGGGUGCAGGAUGGGGACGCAGCCCGCUUCUUUCUCAUACUCGUCCAGCGGCGCCGCCAUCUUGGUGCGAGCCGCCCGCCCGCUGCAUGCCGGGUACUGCGCGCGCGCGGCCCCUCGCG
Molecule: long non-coding RNA, 407 nt
Filed under: Gallus gallus (chicken)
Lineage: Eukaryota; Metazoa; Chordata; Aves; Galliformes; Phasianidae
Source: RNAcentral